GUAUUUCAGAAUUGGCACAGGCUCUGCAAAGCAAACGUCGAAGAUGACAUACGACCUGACCCUCAACGUGGAGCGGCAGGUUUCCCGACUGAGCGGGACACGGACAAAGGCGUCCUCACCGGAGAACCGGUGGGACGCC
The sequence is a non-coding RNA, 139 nucleotides long. It matches the Rfam family "Pseudomonas sRNA P11". Rfam says of the family: P11 is located between a putative threonine protein kinase and putative nitrate reductase and appears to be conserved in several Pseudomonas species. The record is from Rfam.